This 482-nucleotide ribosomal RNA is filed under the name uncultured bacterium. RNAcentral's name for it is "partial 16S ribosomal RNA". It matches the Rfam family "Bacterial small subunit ribosomal RNA", at positions 29 to 507 of the family's 1533-position model. The record is from RNAcentral.
AUUGAACGCUGGCGGCAUGCCUUACACAUGCAAAUCGAACGGUAACGGGCCUUCGGGUGCCGACGAGUGGCGAACGGGAGAGUAAUACAUCGGAACGUGCCCGAUCGUGGGGGAAAACAAGGCGAAAGAACUGCUAAUACCGCAUACGAUCUACGGAUGAAAGCAGGGGACCGCAAGGCCUUGCGCGGGCGGAGAGGACGAGCGCAGAUUAGGUAGUGGGUGGGAUAAAAGCUUACCAAGCGGACGAUCUGUAGCUGGUCUGAGAGGAUGAUCAGCCACACUGGGACUGAGACACGGCCCAGACUCCUACGGGAGGCAGCAGUGGGGAAUUUUGGACAAUGGGCGCAAGCCUGAUCCAGCCAUGCCGCGUGCAGGAUGAAGGACUUCGGGUUGUAAACUGAUUUUGUACGGAACGAAAAGCCUUCUUUUAAUACAGGAGGGUCAUGACGGUACCGUAAGAAUAAGCACCGGCUAACUACGUG